ACUCGUAGACUCCUACGGGAGGCAGCAGUGGGGAAUCUUGCGCAAUGGGCGGAAGCCUGACGCAGCAACGCCGCGUGAGGGAUGACGGCCUUCGGGUUGUAAACCUCUUUCGCGAUCGACGAAGGUCAUGCUUCUGGCAUGGCUGACGGUAGGUCGAGAAGAAGCACCGGCCAACUACGUGCCAGCAGCCGCGGUAAUACGUAGGGUGCGAGCGUUGUCCGGAAUUAUUGGGCGUAAAGAGCUCGUAGGCGGUGUGUCGCGUCGGCCGUGAAAACCUGGGGCUUAACUCUGGGCGUGCGGUCGAUACGGGCAUCACUAGAGUUCGGCAGGGGAGACUGGAAUUCCUGGUGUAGCGGUGAAAUGCGCAGAUAUCAGGAGGAACACCGGUGGCGAAGGCGGGUCUCUGGGCCGAUACUGACGCUGAGGAGCGAAAGCAUGGGUAGCGAACAGGAUUAGAUACCCUGGUAG
Molecule: ribosomal RNA, 468 nt
Filed under: uncultured bacterium
Lineage: Bacteria
Description: bacterial SSU rRNA
Rfam family: Bacterial small subunit ribosomal RNA
Source: RNAcentral